This 321-nucleotide ribosomal RNA is filed under the name Candidula rugosiuscula. RNAcentral describes it as "partial 16S ribosomal RNA". The record is from RNAcentral. Lineage: Eukaryota; Metazoa; Mollusca; Gastropoda; Stylommatophora; Geomitridae.
GGCUUAUAAUUGAAGUCUGGCAUGAAAGAAUCUACGGGUAGUUACUGUCUUCUUUGGUUUUUCUGAACUUCCUUAAGAGGUGAAAAUGCCUUUAAACACAAAAUAUACGAGAAGACCCUAGAAAUUUUUUACACAUUUAGAUUGAUCUAUUUUCUAUUUUGUUGGGGCGACAGAAUAACAUUUAACUUAUUUUAUUUAAUGAGCACUAUGUAUUGUGGAAAAACAAAUUACUCUAGGGAUAACAGCAUAAUUUUAUUAGUUUGUGACCUCGAUGUUGGACUAGGGAUUUUAUUAACCAGCAUUGAACUGAACAUGCUCUGU